Homo sapiens (human) is the source of this 541-nucleotide long non-coding RNA. Lineage: Eukaryota; Metazoa; Chordata; Mammalia; Primates; Hominidae. The record is from Ensembl.
AGAGUGGCUAUGGAAAUGAGGCUUGGAGCACAGGCACAGGUGGUGACACUACAGCUCUGGGACCAGAACAAUAAUUGCACUGGAUCCCAGGGCACAGACACCCCUACUACCACCUUGCAGAAAUGAUGGUUGGCUACUGCAGAGGCAAGAGUUUCUGGUGUCCUCUGCCGAGGAGUUCACUGGUGACUAUGGUGGUCCCCACUACAUGGCUGAUACCAAUGCCUCCACCUUUCUUUUUUGCUCCUAGGCAUCUCCUGCCAUCUCAGCAAGCUGCCAUGCUGUUGGUAGCAUUUUAAAAAGACAAGCAUGGCGAAGAAAGGAUAUCUCUGCCAAGCAGCCAGGAACAUCCUGAGGCCUGUCAGCAGCCCUUUCCGUGAAACUGGAAAUGGAUCUUCCCCUUGUGAUGACUACAGUCCCAACUGAGAGCUUGACUGCAACCUCAUGAGCAGCCCUGAGCCAGAGACACUGAGCUAAUUUCUGCCUGAAUUCCUGAUUCAUGGAAAUUAUGGGCUAAUAAAUAUAUCUCAUUUUAAGCUACUAA